CAGUGUAUGUUUGAGCUGUCUUUAGCUUUCAUGUUCUUUUCUUUAUAUCCCAAAACUUCAUCUUCAAACUUCCUUUCAUUGUCUCGCUUAACAGUCAUAACGUUUCCUCGUGCACCUAAAAAUUGUGUUGAUGUUAACUGAAAUUGUAAGUGAAGACAUCGGAGGCAUGAUCAUUAUACUUAUAUACAUGAGUAGAUAAUAUGUUUUCCGCGUUGGUGCUGUUUCAUAUUUGUUUCGCUUUUGUAUUAAAUUCUUUUUAGCAUCUGCUAAGUUUCAAAUUUGUAUCUUACAGGUAUAUACCAAGAUACACCUUUAGCUGGCUGGUCCAACCAAUGUGGUUAGUUAUAAAGUGUCUGCACAGAGCUGCCGAUCUUACCCCGGUGCCUUCUGCUGCCAUCGCAAAGGAUCUAGUAGAAGCUAAAGCAACAACAGGAGUUCUUUACAUUCUGGAUAAAAAUCAGAGGUUGAAGAAGGAAGAGAUUCUAGAUCGGAGGACCCUGAACAGGCAACACAGGAAAGUGGAAAUGGUGUAGAUGGAAAAAAUUGAGUUAUGUUCAUCUAGAAAAUGAGAUUUGUUCGUUAAAGUUUAAAGGAUAUAACUAUUUGUUCAUCAAUAAUGCUCCUUAUGUUCAUCAAUAUUGUUCUUUUGGUUCA
Molecule: long non-coding RNA, 654 nt
Organism: Salvia miltiorrhiza (redroot sage)
Lineage: Eukaryota; Viridiplantae; Streptophyta; Magnoliopsida; Lamiales; Lamiaceae
Exons: 3
Source: RefSeq, a predicted model, not a curated record